GGGGAAUUUUCCGCAAUGGGCGAAAGCCUGACGGAGCAAUACCGCGUGAGGGAGGAAGGCUCUUGGGUCGUAAACCUCUUUUAUCAGGGAAGAACACAAUGACGGUACCUGAUGAAUCAGCAUCGGCUAACUCCGUGCCAGCAGCCGCGGUAAUACGGAGGAUGCAAGCGUUAUCCGGAAUUAUUGGGCGUAAAGCGUCCGCAGGUGGUUUUGAAAGUUUGCUGUCAAAGCGCGAGGCUCAACUUCGUAUCGGCGGUGAAAACUUCAAGACUAGAGCUAGGUAGGGGUCACGGGAAUUCCCAGUGUAGCGGUGAAAUGCGUAGAUAUUGGGAAGAACACCAGCGGCGAAAGCGCGUGACUGGGCCUGAGCUGACACUCAUGGACGAAAGCUAGGGGAGCGAAAGGGAUUAGAUACCCCUGUAGUCCUAGCCGUAAACGAUGACAACUAGGUGUUGCCCGUAUCGACCCGGGCAGUGCCGUAGCCAACGCGUUAAGUUGUCCGCCUGGGGAGUACGCACGCAAGUGUGAAACUCAAAGGAAUUGACGGGGGCCCGCACAAGCGGUGGAGUAUGUGGUUUAAUUCGAUGCAACGCGAAGAACCUUACCAAGGCUUGACAUGUCGCGAAUCUCUGUGAAAGUAGAGAGUGCCUUCGGGAGCGCGAACACAGGUGGUGCAUGGCUGCCGUCAGCUCGUGUCGUGAGAUGUUGGGUUAAGUCCCGCAACGAGCGCAACCCUCGUUUCUAGUUGCCAUCAUUGAGUUGGGCACUUUAGAGAGACUGCCGGUGACAAACCGGAGGAAGGUGGGGAUGACGUCAAGUCAGCAUGCCCCUUACGCCUUGGGCUACACACGUACUACAAUGCUACGGACAAAGAGCCGCAAGUUCGCGAGGACAAGCAAAUCUCAUAAACCGUGGCUCAGUUCAGAUUGCAGGCUGCAACUCGCCUGCAUGAAGGCGGAAUCGCUAGUAAUCGCAGGUCAGCAUACUGCGGUGAAUACGUUCCCGGGCCUUGUACACACCGCCCGUCACACCAUGGGAGUUGGCCACGCCCGAAGUCGUUACUCCAACCGUUCGCGGAGGAGGAUGCCGAAGGCAGGGCUGAUGACUGGGGUGAAGUCGUAACAAGGUAGCCGUACCGGAAGGUGUGGCUGGAUCACCUCCU
Molecule: ribosomal RNA, 1162 nt
Filed under: Phormidesmis sp. WJT36-NPBG5
Lineage: Bacteria; Bacillati; Cyanobacteriota; Cyanophyceae; Leptolyngbyales; Leptolyngbyaceae
Description: bacterial SSU rRNA
Rfam family: Bacterial small subunit ribosomal RNA
Source: RNAcentral